RNAcentral lists this ribosomal RNA (430 nucleotides) under uncultured bacterium. RNAcentral describes it as "bacterial SSU rRNA". It matches the Rfam family "Bacterial small subunit ribosomal RNA", at positions 355 to 776 of the family's 1533-position model. The record is from RNAcentral.
UGGGGAAUCUUGCGCAAUGGCCGAAAGGCUGACGCAGCGACGCCGCGUGCGGGAGGAAGCUCUUCGGGGUGUAAACCGCUGUCAGGAGGGACGAAGGUCCGGGGGAGGUAAUGCCCUCGGGAUGACGGUACCUCCAGAGGAAGCGCCGGCUAACUCCGUGCCAGCAGCCGCGGUAAUACGGAGGGCGCGAGCGUUGUUCGGAAUUAUUGGGCGUAAAGCGCACGUAGGCGGCACGAUCAGUCUCGCUGUGAAAGCCCGGGGCUCAACCCCGGGAGGCCAGGGGAUACUGUCGAGCUGGAGACAAGCAGAGGUGGGUAGAAUUCCGGGUGUAGCGGUGGAAUGCGUAGAGAUCCGGAGGAAUACCAGAGGCGAAGGCGGCUCACUGGGCUUGGUCUGACGCUGAGGUGCGAAAGCGUGGGGAGCGAACAGG